This 184-nucleotide ribosomal RNA is filed under the name uncultured bacterium. Its description in RNAcentral is "partial 16S ribosomal RNA". It matches the Rfam family "Bacterial small subunit ribosomal RNA", at positions 1309 to 1500 of the family's 1533-position model. The record is from RNAcentral.
AACCCGACUCCACGAAGCUGGAUUCGCUAGUAAUCGCGCAUCAGCCACUGCGCGGUGAAUACGUUCCCGGGCCUUGUACACACCGCCCGUCAAGCCAUGGGAGCCGGGGGUACCUGAAGUGCGUAACCGCGAGGAUCGCCCUAGGGUAAAACUGGUGACUGGGGCUAAGUCGUAACAAGGUAUC